UACGUGGUGUUCCUUCCCUGCUGGAAGUUGCUGGUUUCUCCUACUUCUAUGGGGCCUUCUUGGUAGGGCCCCAGUUCUCAAUGAAUCACUACAUGAAGCUGGUGCAGGGAGAGCUGACUGACAUACCAGGAAAGAUACCAAACAGCAUCAUUCCUGCUCUCAAGCGCCUGAGUCUGGGCCUUUUCUACCUAGUGGGCUACACACUGCUCAGCCCCCACAUCACAGAAGACUAUCUCCUCACUGAAGACUAUGACAACCACCCCUUCUGGUUCCGCUGCAUGUACAUGCUGAUCUGGGGCAAGUUUGUGCUGUACAAAUAUGUCACCUGUUGGCUGGUCACAGAAGGAGUAUGCAUUUUGACGGGCCUGGGCUUCAAUGGCUUUGAAGAAAAGGGCAAGGCAAAGUGGGAUGCCUGUGCCAACAUGAAGGCUGCCAGGCUCAUUCAAGAGAGCCCCACCCUGAGCAAGCUGGCCGCCAUUACUGUCCUCCAGCCCUUCUACUAUUUGGUGCAACAGACCAUCCACUGGCUCUUCAUGGGUUACUCCAUGACUGCCUUCUGCCUCUUCACGUGGGACAAAUGGCUUAAGGUGUAUAAAUCCAUCUAUUUCCUUGGCCACAUCUUCUUCUUGAGCCUACUAUUCAUAUUGCCUUAUAUUCACAAAGCAAUGGUGCCAAGGAAAGAGAAGUUAAAGAAGAUGGAAUAAUCCAUUUCCCUGGUGGCCUAUGCAGGACUGGUGCAGAAACUACUUGUCUCCCUUUUCACAGCACUCCUUUGCCCCAGAGCAGAGAAUGGAAAAGCCAG
RNAcentral lists this small RNA (802 nucleotides) under Pan troglodytes (chimpanzee). Its description in RNAcentral is "processed transcript". Lineage: Eukaryota; Metazoa; Chordata; Mammalia; Primates; Hominidae. The record is from RNAcentral.